RNAcentral lists this ribosomal RNA (492 nucleotides) under uncultured bacterium. Its description in RNAcentral is "partial 16S ribosomal RNA". It matches the Rfam family "Bacterial small subunit ribosomal RNA", at positions 29 to 507 of the family's 1533-position model. The record is from RNAcentral.
AGUGAACGCUGGCGGUAGGCCUAACACAUGCAAGUCGAACGGCAGCACAGUAAGAGCUUGCUCUUACGGGUGGCGAGUGGCGGACGGGUGAGGAAUACAUCGGAAUCUACUUUUUCGUGGGGGAUAACGUAGGGAAACUUACGCUAAUACCGCAUACGACCUACGGGUGAAAGCAGGGGAUCUUCGGACCUUGCGCGAUUGAAUGAGCCGAUGUCGGAUUAGCUAGUUGGCGGGGUAAAGGCCCACCAAGGCGACGAUCCGUAGCUGGUCUGAGAGGAUGAUAAGCCACACUGGAACUGAGACACGGUCCAGACUCCUACGGGAGGCAGCAGUGGGGAAUAUUGGACAAAGGGCGCAAGCAUGAUCCAGCCAUACCGCGUGGGUGAAGAAGGCCUUCGGGUUGUAAAGCCCUUUUGUUGGGAAAGAAAAGCAGCAGGUUAAUACCCCGCUGUUCUGACGGUACCCAAAGAAUAAGCACCGGCUAACUUCGUG